GUGGCGCACGGGUGAGUAACACGUGGGAAUCUGCCCAUCUAUGGGGAAUAACUGCGGGAAACUGCAGCUAAUACCGCAUACGCCCUUCGGGGGAAAGGCUUCGGCCGUAGAUGGAUGAGCCCGCGUCCGAUUAGCUAGUUGGUGGGGUAACGGCCUACCAAGGCGACGAUCGGUAGCUGGUCUGAGAGGAUGAGCAGCCACACUGGGACUGAGACACGGCCCAGACUCCUACGGGAGGCAGCAGUGGGGAAUUUUCCGCAAUGGGCGAAAGCCUGACGGAGCAAUACCGCGUGAGGGAGGAAGGCUCUUGGGUUGUAAACCUCAAAACUUAGGGAAGAAAAAAAUGACGGUACCUAAUGUAAGCAUCGGCUAACUCCGUGCCAGCAGCCGCGGUAAUACGGAGGAUGCAAGCGUUAUCCGGAAUCAUUGGGCGUAAAGAGUCCGUAGGUGGCACUUCAAGUCUGCUUUCAAAGACCGAAGCUCAACUUCGGAAAGGGAGUGGAAACUGAAGAGCUAGAGUAUAGUAGGGGUAGAGGGAAUUCCUAGUGUAGCGGUGAAAUGCGUAGAGAUUAGGAAGAACACCAGUGGCGAAGGCGCUCUACUGGGCAUAUACUGACACUGAGGGACGAAAGCUAGGGGAGCGAAAGGGAUUAGAUACCCCUGUAGUCCUA
RNAcentral lists this ribosomal RNA (671 nucleotides) under uncultured cyanobacterium. RNAcentral's name for it is "bacterial SSU rRNA". It matches the Rfam family "Bacterial small subunit ribosomal RNA", at positions 95 to 798 of the family's 1533-position model. Lineage: Bacteria; Bacillati; Cyanobacteriota. The record is from RNAcentral.